UACGGGGGGAGCAAGCGUUGUUCGGAUUUACUGGGCGUAAAGGGCGCGUAGGCGGCACCGCAAGUCGACUGUGAAAUCUCCGGGCUUAACCCGGAAAGGUCAGCCGAUACUGCGGGGCUAGAGUGCAGAAGGGGCAACUGGAAUUCUCGGUGUAGCGGUGAAAUGCGUAGAUAUCGAGAGGAACACCUGCGGCGAAGGCGGGUUGCUGGGCUGACACUGACGCUGAUGCGCGAAAGCUAGGGUAGCAAACGGG
Molecule: ribosomal RNA, 253 nt
Filed under: uncultured bacterium
Lineage: Bacteria
Description: partial 16S ribosomal RNA
Rfam family: Bacterial small subunit ribosomal RNA
Source: RNAcentral